AACUUUUUCGUAUUACGUAUUUCAAAAUAUGCUGAAGCUCUAUUUUGCAGAAUGCAUGUGCAUUGUUGGGGCGCCCACCCAGUGGUAUGGAUGCCUCCUGGAGGGGUACAACAGCUACACACAGAGGGAAGUAGUUGUUAUAUGUGAAGAAAGGCUCUUGACAGCACCGGAACCACCUCCACUGGAGCACCUGCCAACCUCACUCCCCACUCCCCACCUCCAACCGGCAGCACCUAGGUAUGAUGCCCAGACCUGAACUCCAGGUGCAGUCGAGUCAGCAAAGGAGACCCCCAGGGACCUUUAUCUCUCUAGAAAGAGAUAUUGUACUUCUAAGACAACAUUUCUGGUGUCCACAUCAUGCCAUCGUAUUAUACUUCUUGAAUGUUUUAGCCUUCAAAUGGCUAAAUUUGUCUGCAAACAAAGCCUGCUCCCCUGGCCACAAACGACUGGACCAGUGAUUACUGUGUGAGUCAAAGACAGAAAUCAUGGUUGAAUACAGGGAGACCAGCUGCCUCUGAGGCGACAAAAACUCUGCCACAUGGAUGGUAGCAUCUGUCUCUUUGCCUUGGUGGGUGAGGAGUCAGAGAAUAAUAGAAGAGGAAGAGAUGUAGACAGAUCAUCUUCUUCA
Diceros bicornis minor is the source of this 628-nucleotide long non-coding RNA. RefSeq lists it as uncharacterized. The record is from RefSeq and is a predicted model, not a curated record. NCBI's taxonomy places the organism in Eukaryota, Metazoa, Chordata, Mammalia, Perissodactyla, Rhinocerotidae. The transcript has 3 exons.